GACGAACGCUGGCGGCGCGCUUAACACAUGCAAGUCGAACGGAAAGGCCUGCUUUCCCUUGUGGAUUGCGGGUACUCGAGUGGCGAACGGGUGAGUAACACGUGAGUGAUCUGCCCCCAACUUGGGUAUAAGCCUGGGAAACUGGGUCUAAUUCCCGAUAGGACUGCAGGGUGGUGCCUGUGGUGGAAAACGAUUUUCUAGUGGUUGGGGAUGAGCUCGCGGCCUAUCAGCUUGUUGGUGGGGUAAUGGCCUACCAAGGCGGCGACGGGUAGCCGGCCUGAGAGGGUGGACGGCCACAUUGGGACUGAGAUACGGCCCAGACUCCUACGGGAGGCAGCAGUGGGGAAUAUUGCACAAUGGGCGGAAGCCUGAUGCAGCGACGCCGCGUGGGGAUGACGGCCUUCGGGUUGUAAACUCCUUUCGACCGCGAGGAAGCCACCUGGUUGGAAGGGUGGUGACGGUAGUGGUAGAAGAAGCACCGGCUAACUACGUG
Molecule: ribosomal RNA, 493 nt
Filed under: uncultured bacterium
Lineage: Bacteria
Description: partial 16S ribosomal RNA
Rfam family: Bacterial small subunit ribosomal RNA
Source: RNAcentral